RNAcentral lists this ribosomal RNA (429 nucleotides) under Gemmatimonadota bacterium. Its description in RNAcentral is "Gemmatimonadetes bacterium partial 16S ribosomal RNA". It matches the Rfam family "Bacterial small subunit ribosomal RNA", at positions 355 to 776 of the family's 1533-position model. Lineage: Bacteria; Pseudomonadati; Gemmatimonadota. The record is from RNAcentral.
UAGGGAAUCUUCGGCAAUGGACGAAAGUCUGACCGAGCAACGCCGCGUGAGUGAAGAAGGUUUUCGGAUCGUAAAACUCUGUUGUUAGAGAAGAACAAGGACGUUAGUAACUGAACGUCCCCUGACGGUAUCUAACCAGAAAGCCACGGCUAACUACGUGCCAGCAGCCGCGGUAAUACGUAGGUGGCAAGCGUUGUCCGGUUUUAUUGGGCGUAAAGCGAGCGCAGGCGGUUUCUUAAGUCUGAUGUGAAAGCCCCCGGCUCAACCGGGGAGGGUCAUUGGAAGCUGAGAGACUUGAGUGCAGAAGAGGGGAGUGGAAUUCCAUGUGUAGCGGUGAAAUGCGUAGAUAUAUGGAGGAACACCAGUGGCGAAGGCGGCUCUCUGGUCUGUAACUGACGCUGAGGCUCGAAAGCGUAGGGAGCAAACAGG